This 444-nucleotide ribosomal RNA is filed under the name uncultured Pedomicrobium sp. RNAcentral describes it as "bacterial SSU rRNA". It matches the Rfam family "Bacterial small subunit ribosomal RNA", at positions 8 to 499 of the family's 1533-position model. The record is from RNAcentral. Lineage: Bacteria; Pseudomonadati; Pseudomonadota; Alphaproteobacteria; Hyphomicrobiales; Hyphomicrobiaceae.
AGAGUUUGAUCAUGGCUCAGAACGAACGCUGGCGGCAGGCCUAACACAUGCAAGUCGAACGCCGUAGCAAUGCGGAGUGGCAGACGGGUGAGUAACGCGUGGGAAUAUCCCCCUCAGUACGGAAUAGCUCAGGGAAACUUGGGGUAAUACCGUAUACGUCCGUGAGGAGAAAGAUUUAUCGCUGAGGGAUUAGCCCGCGUAGGAUUAGCUAGUUGGUGAGGUAAUGGCUCACCAAGGCGACGAUCCUUAGCUGGUCUGAGAGGACGACCAGCCACACUGGGACUGAGACGCGGCCCAGACUCCUACGGGAGGCAGCAGUGGGGAAUAUUGGACAAUGGGCGCAAGCCUGAUCCAGCCAUGCCGCGUGAGUGAUGAAGGCCUUGGGGUUGUAAUGCUCUUUUGGCGGGGACGAUAAUGACGGUACCCGCAGAAUAGCCUGAUCCC